ACACGUAGGGGCCUGACGUUGUUCGGAAUCAUUGGGCGUAAAGGGCGCGCAGGCGGCCGUCCAAGUCCGGUGUUAAAUGGUCGGGCUCAACCCGAUCAUGCGCUGGAAACUGGGCGGCUUGAGUCCCGUAGGGGAUGCCGGAAUUCCAGGUGUAGGGGUGAAAUCUGUAGAUAUCUGGAAGAACACCGAUGGCGAAGGCAGGCAUCUGGCCGGAGACUGACGCUGAGGCGCGAAGGCGCGGGGAGCGAACAGGUUUAGAUACCCUGGUAGUCCGCACAGUAAACGAUGAAUACUUGUUUUCAGCGAUAUAAUGUCGGAGGCAAAGCGAAAGCGAUAAGUAUUCCACCUGGGGAGUACGCCGGCAACGGUGAAACUCAAAGGAAUUGACGGGG
RNAcentral lists this ribosomal RNA (392 nucleotides) under uncultured bacterium. RNAcentral's name for it is "partial 16S ribosomal RNA". It matches the Rfam family "Bacterial small subunit ribosomal RNA", at positions 523 to 918 of the family's 1533-position model. The record is from RNAcentral.